RNAcentral lists this ribosomal RNA (481 nucleotides) under uncultured bacterium. RNAcentral's name for it is "partial 16S ribosomal RNA". It matches the Rfam family "Bacterial small subunit ribosomal RNA", at positions 355 to 852 of the family's 1533-position model. The record is from RNAcentral.
UGGGGAAUAUUGCACAAUGGGCGAAAGCCUGAUGCAGCAACGCCGCGUGAGUGAUGAAGGUCUUCGGAUUGUAAAGCUCUGUCUUUUGGGACGAUAAUGACGGUACCAAAGGAGGAAGCCACGGCUAACUACGUGCCAGCAGCCGCGGUAAUACGUAGGUGGCGAGCGUUGUCCGGAUUUACUGGGCGUAAAGGGUGCGUAGGCGGAUGUUUAAGUGAGAUGUGAAAUACCCGGGCUUAACUUGGGUGCUGCAUUUCAAACUGGAUAUCUAGAGUGCAGGAGAGGAGAAUGGAAUUCCUAGUGUAGCGGUGAAAUGCGUAGAGAUUAGGAAGAACACCAGUGGCGAAGGCGAUUCUCUGGACUGUAACUGACGCUGAGGCACGAAAGCGUGGGUAGCAAACAGGAUUAGAUACCCUGGUAGUCCACGCCGUAAACGGUGAGUACUAGGUGUAGGAGGUAUCGACCCCUUCUGUGCCGCAGU